UAGAGUUUGAUCCUGGCUCAGAACGAACGCUGGCGGCAGGCUUAACACAUGCAAGUCGAACGCCCCGCAAGGGGAGCGGCAGACGGGUGAGUAACGCGUGGGAAUCUACCCAUCUCUUCGGAAUAACUCAGGGAAACUUGUGCUAAUACCGUAUACGCCCUUAGGGGGAAAGAUUUAUCGGAGAUGGAUGAGCCCGCGUUGGAUUAGCUAGUUGGUGGGGUAAUGGCUUACCAAGGCGACGAUCCAUAGCUGGUCUGAGAGGAUGAUCAGCCACAUUGGGACUGAGACACGGCCCAAACUCCUACGGGAGGCAGCAGUGGGGAAUAUUGGACAAUGGGCGCAAGCCUGAUCCAGCCAUGCCGCGUGAGUGAUGAAGGCCCUAGGGUUGUAAAGCUCUUUCACCGGUGAAGAUAAUGACGGUAACCGGAGA
Molecule: ribosomal RNA, 430 nt
Filed under: uncultured Shinella sp.
Lineage: Bacteria; Pseudomonadati; Pseudomonadota; Alphaproteobacteria; Hyphomicrobiales; Rhizobiaceae
Description: bacterial SSU rRNA
Rfam family: Bacterial small subunit ribosomal RNA
Source: RNAcentral